CCUCUUUCUUGCAGUUCUUCCAACUCUGCGGCUGCGACCUUUCAUGGCUUCCACCAGCUCUUGUGAAGAACAAGCAUGAUAAUUACUGCCAAGGUCGCAGUCGUCACUGGAAGUAACAAAGGCAAUGGGUUUACCACCGUCAGAGCGCACUGCAAGCAGUUCCAAGGGGACGUUUACCUCACCGACCUCGUAGACAGAUUUGCCACGAGGGACUGAAGCCUUUGUUUCAUCAACUGGACAUCAUUGACCUGAACAGCCUUAAAACAGCUGCUGCUUUCUUUAAGGAGAAAUAUGGAGGGGUGGACAUCCUCAUCAAUAAUGCUGGGAUUGGUUUCAAAGCAACAGACACAACUCCAUUUGGGAUUCAAGCAGAGGUCACGCUGAGGACGAACUUCUUUGGCACCAGAGACGUGCUGACUCACUUUAUGCCGCUGAUCAAAGCAGAAGGCGAAAACAAUUUCGAAAGACAUUUUUUCCAUAAAUACAUCAACUUUAUCCAGAGAGAAUAUAUUUGCAGCAUUUACUCCUUUUAUUCAGAAUUUAUGUAAAUUAGUCUAGCAUGCUGGUUUUUAACUUUCAAAUUGAGGAUACAGCAAAGAAAAUUGUUCUGCUCUGACUUUGUCCCAUUCUACCCUUGUAAUUUUUUCUUUCAUUUUUCUCUCGUUCAGAAAUGAAACAGGAAACACUCUGAAGUCGCAAAAUGGAAAAAUCUGGCAUUAAUGAGGAAUGCUGAGAACUAUUUAGCACAUCUGACAGUUCGUAUCUCAUUAAAUCAGUGGCACAAAUACUGAUGUAAAAUAUUUCUGUGUGAACAUCUUCCCUUAAAUUUUUACCACAAAACAGAGAAAUAUAUAUUGUAAAUUAUAUAAGGGGUGUCCAAACUGCAAAGUAAAAAAAAAAAAAGAAUUUCAUUACCCCACCAGUAAAUUUGACAAUUUUAGCCCAGAUGACAAAAGGUUUGGACAACUCAGCUUUAUAUGCUCUUUUUUUUAAUACUAAAAUUAUAUAAUUUAAAAGCUGCCAGCUAUCCACCAAUGACGCUGCAAUCCACGUUUGAAUAGUAACAGGGAAACAAGCUCGGUUCUAUUAGACCACAAUUAGCCUAAUGCAUAUUCUGUGUGUGUUUUUUUUGGUCGUGUAGUGAAUGUAUCCAGCAUCGUCAGUUCUAGCACUUUGAGCCAGUGAUGUCCAGAACUCCAGCAGCG
Poecilia reticulata (guppy) is the source of this 1205-nucleotide long non-coding RNA. RefSeq lists it as uncharacterized. The record is from RefSeq and is a predicted model, not a curated record. NCBI's taxonomy places the organism in Eukaryota, Metazoa, Chordata, Actinopteri, Cyprinodontiformes, Poeciliidae.